This 218-nucleotide ribosomal RNA is filed under the name uncultured bacterium. Its description in RNAcentral is "partial 16S ribosomal RNA". It matches the Rfam family "Bacterial small subunit ribosomal RNA", at positions 144 to 355 of the family's 1533-position model. The record is from RNAcentral.
UAACACCUGGAAACAGAUGCUAAUACCGGAUAACAACACUAGACGCAUGUCUAGAGUUUAAAAGAUGGUUCUGCUAUCACUCUUGGAUGGACCUGCGGUGCAUUAGCUAGUUGGUAAGGCAACGGCUUACCAAGGCAAUGAUGCAUAGCCGAGUUGAGAGACUGAUCGGCCACAUUGGGACUGAGACACGGCCCAAACUCCUACGGGAGGCAGCAGCC